AACGCACAUUGCGCCCCCCGGCAUUCCGAGGGGCAUGCCUGUCCGAGCGUCAUUACAAGAUCCAGCCUCUGGCUCGGUGUUGGGCCCCGUCCGCGCAGGGCGGGCCCGAAAAUCUGCGGAGGCCGCGUCCGGCCCUGACCCCAGUGAAUCUCAGGCUGAUGGGUCCGGUCGCGCUCUCUGGCCAGCCCGGGGGUUCGAGGUGCCGCCUCGUCCCCCCAGUUCUACGUUUGACCUCGGAUCAGGUAGGGAUACCCCCUGAACUUAA
Molecule: unclassified non-coding RNA, 265 nt
Filed under: uncultured fungus
Lineage: Eukaryota; Fungi
Description: partial contains 5.8S ribosomal RNA, internal transcribed spacer 2, and large subunit ribosomal RNA
Source: RNAcentral